UAGGGGGACAGGGUUCGGCUCCCCUCCUGGAACCCAGGGUAACUCUUAAGGUGGAGGGACU
Molecule: non-coding RNA, 61 nt
Filed under: Marmota monax (woodchuck)
Lineage: Eukaryota; Metazoa; Chordata; Mammalia; Rodentia; Sciuridae
Rfam family: Gag/pol translational readthrough site
Source: RNAcentral